GUCUAUGGCUGUACCACCCUGAAUGCACCCGAUCUCAUCUGAUCUCGGAAGCUAAGCAGGGUCGGGCCUGGUUAGUACUUGGAUGGGUGUAUAUGUAAUUGAGCUAAACAAAACACCUCUGUAGACC
RNAcentral lists this ribosomal RNA (127 nucleotides) under Chinchilla lanigera (long-tailed chinchilla). Lineage: Eukaryota; Metazoa; Chordata; Mammalia; Rodentia; Chinchillidae. The record is from RNAcentral.